Molecule: ribosomal RNA, 433 nt
Filed under: uncultured bacterium
Lineage: Bacteria
Description: partial 16S ribosomal RNA
Rfam family: Bacterial small subunit ribosomal RNA
Source: RNAcentral
AACGAACGCUGGCGGCAUGCCUAACACAUGCAAGUCGAACGAAACCUUCGGGUCUAGUGGCGCACGGGUGCGUAACGCGUGGGAACCUGCCCUUAGGUUCGGAAUAACUCCCCGAAAGGGGUGCUAAUACCGGAUAAUGUCUACGGACCAAAGAUUUAUCGCCUUUGGAUGGGCCCGCGUUGGAUUAGCUUGUUGGUAGGGUAAAAGCCUGCCAAGGCGACGAUUCAUAGCUGGUCUGAGAGGAUGGUCAGCCACACUGGGACUGAGACGCGGCCCAGACUCCUACGGGAGGCAGCAGUGGGGAAUAUUGGACAAUGGGCGAAAGCCUGAUCCAGCAAUGCCGCGUGAGUGAUGAAGUCCUUAGGGUUGUAAAGCUCUUUUACCCGGGAUGAUAAUGACAGUACCGGGAGAAUAAGCUCCGGCUAACUCCGUG